GUGCUCGCUUUGGCAGCACAUAUAUUAAAAUUGGAAAGAUAAGAGAAGAUUAGCAUGGCCCCUGCACAAGGAUGACACACAAAUUCAUGAAGUAUUCCAUAUUAAA
Small nuclear RNA from Callithrix jacchus (white-tufted-ear marmoset), 106 nucleotides. The record is from Ensembl. NCBI's taxonomy places the organism in Eukaryota, Metazoa, Chordata, Mammalia, Primates, Cebidae.